UAAUACGUAGGCAGCGAGCGUUGUUCGGAGUUACUGGGCGUAAAGGGUGUGUAGGCGGUUCCUUAAGUUUGGUGUGAAAUCUCCCGGCUUAACCGGGAGGGUGCGCCGAAUACUGAGGGGCUUGGAGUGCGGGAGAGGAAAGUGGAAUUCCUGGUGUAGCGGUGAAAUGCGUAGAUAUCAGGAGGAACACCGGUGGUGUAGACGGCUUUCUGGACCGUAACUGACGCUGAGACACGAAAGCGUGGGUAGCAAACAGG
Molecule: ribosomal RNA, 257 nt
Filed under: uncultured archaeon
Lineage: Archaea
Description: partial 16S ribosomal RNA
Rfam family: Bacterial small subunit ribosomal RNA
Source: RNAcentral